This 543-nucleotide ribosomal RNA is filed under the name uncultured bacterium. RNAcentral's name for it is "bacterial SSU rRNA". It matches the Rfam family "Bacterial small subunit ribosomal RNA", at positions 355 to 896 of the family's 1533-position model. The record is from RNAcentral.
UGAGGAAUAUUGGUCAAUGGGCGAGAGCCUGAACCAGCCAAGUCGCGUGAAGGAAGACAGUCCUAAGGAUUGUAAACUUCUUUUAUACGGGAAUAACGGGCGAUACGAGUAUUGCAUUGAAUGUACCGUAAGAAUAAGCAUCGGCUAACUCCGUGCCAGCAGCCGCGGUAAUACGGAGGAUGCGAGCGUUAUCCGGAUUUAUUGGGUUUAAAGGGUGCGUAGGUUGUUCGGUAAGUCAGCGGUGAAACCUGAGCGCUCAACGUUCAGCCUGCCGUUGAAACUGCCGGGCUUGAGUUCAGUGGCGGCAGGCGGAAUUCGUGGUGUAGCGGUGAAAUGCAUAGAUAUCACGAGGAACUCCGGUUGCGAAGGCAGCUUGCCAUACUGCGACUGACACUGAAGCACGAAGGCGUGGGUAUCAAACAGGAUUAGAUACCCUGGUAGUCCACGCAGUAAACGAUGAUUACUAGGAGUUUGCGAUAUACCGUCAAGCUUCCACAGCGAAAGCGUUAAGUAAUCCACCUGGGGAGUACGCCGGCAACGGUG